Molecule: long non-coding RNA, 663 nt
Filed under: Homo sapiens (human)
Lineage: Eukaryota; Metazoa; Chordata; Mammalia; Primates; Hominidae
Description: HSALNT0310319
Source: RNAcentral
GACAAGCCCUGCGUCAGGAGGUUGAGCACAGACCAUGUGGACAGCAGGUCUGUCGCGAGCAACCCUACACCAUGCACCAGCGCCACUGCUCCCAGCAGGAGUGGGUUUUGCAGCGGUGGCGGCAGCCCCGCGCCCAGGCCGAGCAGAGUCAGGGCUGCCAGCGCCGUAAGCAGCAAGGGGAAGGGCAGGUUGUAGAGCACCAGGCCCCCGCGAACGCCCAGCCGCGCCUGCGAGCCGUAAGGGUCGUGUGGUUGGCAAGUCAUUUAACUUUUCCAAACAAAUCUGCAAAAUGGAGAUAACAGCACCUGCCUCAUUGCGUUGUGAAGAAGAUGAAAUGUUUAGCCCGGUGCCCAACACCCAGUUCUCACUCUGUCAUCCAGGCUGGUGUGCAGUGGUGCAAUGUGGGCUUACUGCAGCCUUGACCUCCAGGACAAGUGAUCUCCCACCUCAGCCUCCGGAAUAGCUGGGACUACAGCUCAACAACGCCCCUCUGAAAGUAGGACUCUUGGAAAUGAACCUUGUUGGGAGUAAAGCUGAACCUUCACCUCUCCUUUCCAGGAUUCUACUCCAUUCAUACGGCCUCACACUGAAUUAAUGUUUCUAGCAGCCACAUUACUUUGUUACCCAAUUGAUCUAGUAGUAAAGUCUUCCCAUCUCUUCAUG